RNAcentral lists this ribosomal RNA (253 nucleotides) under uncultured bacterium. RNAcentral describes it as "partial 16S ribosomal RNA". It matches the Rfam family "Bacterial small subunit ribosomal RNA", at positions 524 to 776 of the family's 1533-position model. The record is from RNAcentral.
UACGUAGGGACCAAGCGUUGUUCGGAUUUACUGGGCGUAAAGGGCGCGUAGGCGGCUUGACAAGUCACUUGUGAAAUCUCCGGGCUUAACUCGGAACGGCCAAGUGAAACUGUCAUGCUAGAGUGCAGAAGGGGCAAUCGGAAUUCCAGGUGUAGCGGUGAAAUGCGUAGAUAUCAGGAGGAACACCAGUGGCGAAAGCGGCCACCUGGACUGCACCUGACGCUGACACGCGAAAGCUAGAGGAGCGAACGGG